Podarcis lilfordi (Lilford's wall lizard) is the source of this 76-nucleotide non-coding RNA. Lineage: Eukaryota; Metazoa; Chordata; Lepidosauria; Squamata; Lacertidae. The record is from the annotation of a GenBank genome assembly.
ACUUGUGGAAUAGCUCAGUCGGUAGAGCAUCAGACUUUUAAUCUCAGGAUUGUGGGUUCGAAACCCACCCUGGGUG